AAUCAUUUAGGUUAAGUUUGGUUUCAUUAGAGUUUGGUUCCUACGUUCAGUUGUGUUUAAUAUGUUGAUAGACUAAAACAAAGAGCAAUUUAAGUGUAGAUAUAGUUAGACCAUCAUCAACCCCAGUCUCUUAACUGAGGUUUUUAGUUUCGGCUAAGAGACUGUUUUUAGCUUUUCUUAGAUUUUAGCUAAGAAAAGUUAAGAAUCGUCUCAUAAAUAAGAGAUAUAAGAGCCGUCUUUUAGCCGAAAAAUGUAAAAAAAAAAACAAAAAAUGUUAAAUCAUGAGUUA
Molecule: long non-coding RNA, 289 nt
Filed under: Brassica rapa (field mustard)
Lineage: Eukaryota; Viridiplantae; Streptophyta; Magnoliopsida; Brassicales; Brassicaceae
Description: long non-coding RNA (BRAP_LNC003183)
Source: RNAcentral